CACACCGGCAGUUUGUGUGUCUGUGUGACUGUGUGUGCUGUGUGUGUAGUAGCACCAUGCCACUCGCAUGAGAACCCAGAUGCAUGCUCCUCCCAGGCCGCGUUUCACCACCUCUGGGGCUGCAGCCAUGCUGAGAAAGCUGGACUUCUGAGAUACCAGGGAUCAAACUCAGGACCUUGCACUUUCAAUCAAGGCAGGCGUAGCACCACUGAGCUAAAUCCCAGGCCAACAUUUCCUACUCUUAACCUCUGUUGUUCCUAGGAUUCAUCCUUCAGUUUUAGAGAACAUGAACUUGGCGUUAUAGACAUCUAACAGAAUGAACAUCACAGCAAGCCAGUGGUGGAGAGCAGGUCCCAAGGGUCAGGCUCCAUGUCUCUCAGCCUGCUGAAGCCUGAGUCCUCCCUUAGCUGGCUGAGUGGCUGGGUAUUUACACCAAAAGGGGAAAGUAAAUAUUUGGGGGAAGCCUUUGGAGGACCCCAAGGAGGGGACCGGCUUCUCCUGCCUCCCUCGAAGGUCCUCUGAGCUUGAUGAUUGAGAAGCCACCAUGCAUAUCAUCGGCAGAUCUGCAGAGGAGCCUUCAGCUUUGGCUUCUUGGCAACUGGUGGGCUGAAGGGCAGGAUCAGACCAGUGUAGAAAACAGCCCUUUCUCCAUCCCUUCAGGUCCUGUAGGACCAGCUGGGGGAUGCCCUGAGGAUGGGGAUGAGGUGGGGAAGGCUGCUGCAGGUCACCGAAGGAAGCUAAAAUUGGUCUGGAACUGCAGUGUCCUACGCGGCUGCCUAGCACCUAUGGCCACCUCGAGCUUGACCUGCAGCUGCUCCACUGCGAGGUAAAAUACACACCAGAUUUCAAAGGCUUAGCACUGG
This 863-nucleotide long non-coding RNA is filed under the name Heterocephalus glaber (naked mole-rat). RNAcentral's name for it is "lncRNA (ENSHGLG00000032002.1)". Lineage: Eukaryota; Metazoa; Chordata; Mammalia; Rodentia; Bathyergidae. The record is from RNAcentral.